RNAcentral lists this ribosomal RNA (440 nucleotides) under uncultured bacterium. Its description in RNAcentral is "partial 16S ribosomal RNA". It matches the Rfam family "Bacterial small subunit ribosomal RNA", at positions 338 to 795 of the family's 1533-position model. The record is from RNAcentral.
CCUACGGGAGGCAGCAGUAGGGAAUAUUGCUCAAUGGGGGAAACCCUGAAGCAGCAACGCCGCGUGGAGGAUGAAGGUUUUCGGAUUGUAAACUCCUUUUGUUAGAGAAGAUAAUGACGGUAUCUAACGAAUAAGCACCGGCGAACUCCGUGCCAGAAGCCGCGGUAAUACGGAGGGUGCAAGCGUUACUCGGAAUCACUGGGCGUAAAGAGCGCGUAGGCGGGAUAGCAAGUCAGAUGUGAAAUCCUAUGGGUUAACCAUAGAACUGAAUUUGAAACUGGUAUUCUAGAGUAUGGGAGAGGUAGGUGGAAUGCUUGGUGUAGGGGUAAAAUCCGUAGAGAUCAAGAGGAAUACUCAUUGCGAAGGCGACCUGCUAGAACAUAACUGACGCUGAUGCGCGAAAGCGUGGGGAGCAAACAGGAUUAGAUACCCGAGUAGUC